Molecule: ribosomal RNA, 343 nt
Filed under: uncultured bacterium
Lineage: Bacteria
Description: bacterial SSU rRNA
Rfam family: Bacterial small subunit ribosomal RNA
Source: RNAcentral
GGUACCCACAGAAGAAGUCCCGGCAAACUCCGUGCCAGCAGCCGCGGUAAUACGGAGGGGGCGAGCAUUGUUCGGAAUUAUUGGGCGUAAAGGGCAUGUAGGCGGUUUGGUAAGUUAAAGGUGAAAUGCCAGGGCUUAACCCUGGAGCUGCUUUUAAUACUGCCAGACUAGAGACCGGGAGAGGAUAGCGGAAUUCCUAGUGUAGAGGUGAAAUUCGUAGAUAUUAGGAGGAACACCCGUUUCGAAGGCGGCUAUCUGGUCCGGUACUGACGCUGAGGUGCGAAAGCGUGGGAGCAAACAGGUAUAGAUGCCCUGGUAGUCCACGCUGUAAACGAUGAGUGCU